CCUAAGUGCAGUUGUGGGUUUUCGUGUUUGACGUUUGACCGUCCGUCUUAUUUGAAAUUUUGUUAUGAUAUUAGAUGAUAAAACAUGAAUAGUAAUUUAUACAUGAUUUUUAUUUUAUUUUUUUCAAAUAAGACGGAUGGUUAAACGUUGGACACGAAAAAUCACAACUACACUUAAA
Molecule: non-coding RNA, 178 nt
Organism: Oryza meridionalis
Lineage: Eukaryota; Viridiplantae; Streptophyta; Magnoliopsida; Poales; Poaceae
Source: Rfam